This 497-nucleotide ribosomal RNA is filed under the name uncultured bacterium. Its description in RNAcentral is "partial 16S ribosomal RNA". It matches the Rfam family "Bacterial small subunit ribosomal RNA", at positions 28 to 507 of the family's 1533-position model. The record is from RNAcentral.
GAUGAACGCUGGCGGCGUGCCUAAUACAUGCAAGUCGAGCGAACAGACGAGGAGCUUGCUCCUCUGACGUUAGCGGCGGACGGGUGAGUAACACGUGGAUACCCUACCUAUAUUACUGGGAUAAUUUCGGGAAACCGGAUCUAAUACCGGAUAAUAUAUUGAACCGCAUGGUUCAAUAGUAAAAGACGGUUUUGCUGUCUCUUAUAGAUGGAUCCGCGCCGCAUUAGCUAGUUGGUAAGGUCACGGCUUACCAAGGCAACGAUGCGUAGCCGACCUGAGAGGGUGAUCGGCCACACGGGAACUGAGACACGGUCCAGACUCCUACGGGAGGCAGCAGUAGGGAAUCUUCCGCAAUGGGCGAAAGCCUGACGGAGCAACGCCGCGUGAGUGAUGAAGGUCUUCGGAUCGUAAAACUCUGUUAUUAGGGAAGAACAAAUGUGGAAGUAACUAUGCACGUCUUGACGGUACCUAAUCAGAAAGCCACGGCUAACUACGUG